This 104-nucleotide ribosomal RNA is filed under the name uncultured bacterium. Its description in RNAcentral is "partial 16S ribosomal RNA". It matches the Rfam family "Bacterial small subunit ribosomal RNA", at positions 1379 to 1482 of the family's 1533-position model. The record is from RNAcentral.
CCUUGUACACACCGCCCGUCACACCAUGGGAGUUGGUUUUACCUUAAGACGGUGUGCUAACCGCAAGGAAGCAGCCGGCCACGGUAAGGUCAGCGACUGGAGUG